Molecule: transfer RNA, 86 nt
Organism: Puccinia sorghi
Lineage: Eukaryota; Fungi; Basidiomycota; Pucciniomycetes; Pucciniales; Pucciniaceae
Rfam family: tRNA
About the family: Transfer RNA (tRNA) molecules are approximately 80 nucleotides in length. Their secondary structure includes four short double-helical elements and three loops (D, anti-codon, and T loops).
Source: Rfam
GCGUCUGUAGCCUAGUUGGUACAGGAAGCACUCUAGUAUGUGUCUCAGCAGUGCUGAGGUUGUGGGUUCAAGUCCCACCAGACACA